UGAGUUUGAUCAUGGCUCAGAACGUACGCUGGCGGCACGCCUAACACAUGCAAGUCGAACGAAGUAGCAAUACUUAGUGGCAGACGGGUGAGUAACAUGUAGGUAUCUACCCUUUGGCCUGGAAUAACACGAGGAAACUUGUGCUAAUACUGGAUAAGUCUUUACGGAGAAAGCUUUAUGCACCAAUGGAUGAGCCUGCACUUGAUUAGUUUGUUGGUAGGGUAAUGGCCUACCAAGACUGUGAUCAAUAGCUGAUUUGAGAGGAUGAUCAGCCACAUUGGGACUGAGACACGGCCCAAACUCCUACGGGAGGCAGCAGUGGGGAAUCUUGCACAAUGGAGGAAACUCUGAUGCAGCGAUGCCGCGUGAGUGAAGAAGGCCCUUGGGUUGUAAAGCUCUUUCGUCGGGGAAGAAAAUGACUGUACCCGAAUAAGAAGGUCCGGCUAACUUCGUGCCAGCAGCCGCGGUAAUACGAAGGGACCUAGCGUAGUUCGGAAUUACUGGGCUUAAAGAGUUCGUAGGUGGUUGAAAUAGUUGGUGGUGAAAUCCCAGAGCUUAACUCUGGAA
This 567-nucleotide ribosomal RNA is filed under the name uncultured Alphaproteobacteria bacterium. RNAcentral describes it as "bacterial SSU rRNA". It matches the Rfam family "Bacterial small subunit ribosomal RNA", at positions 1 to 620 of the family's 1533-position model. Lineage: Bacteria; Pseudomonadati; Pseudomonadota; Alphaproteobacteria. The record is from RNAcentral.